Non-coding RNA from Myodes glareolus (Bank vole), 700 nucleotides. Lineage: Eukaryota; Metazoa; Chordata; Mammalia; Rodentia; Cricetidae. The record is from RefSeq and is a predicted model, not a curated record.
UUAUUAAAAUAAAUAAGAUCUUCAUUCUAACAAAAAAAUAACCAAAUAUAAUAUGUGUAAUGUUAGAUUAAAUGUAAGAAAAAAAACCUAAUAUUUUUACAUUUUUAUUUAUGUGUCUCUAUGCAUUUGCAGAUGCCUAUGGAGGCCAGAAGAGGGCGUCGGAUCUCCUGGAGCUGGAGUUACGGAUGGUUGUGAACAGCCCAAUGUGGUGCUGGAAACUGAGCAGCAAGAGGUCUUAAUCGCUGAUCGUUUCUCCAGCUUGUGCUGGCUAGUUUUAGGUCAACUUGGCACAAGCUAGAGUCACUGGCAAGGAGGGAACCUCAGUUGGGAACACGCCUCCAUACUAUUUGGCUGUUCACAUGCAUGUGGAGAUCGGAGGACAACCUGUGGGUGUCAGGCCUUGCCUUCCCACCUUGUUUGAGACAACGCAUAAGCAGGGACAGCUGGUCCACUCACUACUGAAUACAGCUUUUCUAUCUGGGUCCUGGGGAUUUGAAUUCAAGUUGUUGUGUUUGUGUGACAAAAGUUUUUACCCACUGAGCCAUCUCCCCAGCCCCUGAGCUUUUAUUUCUCAUCCUUAUUAAUUUAAUGUAACAAUAUUAACAUGAAUUUAAUGUACCUGUAAUAUGAUUUUGCCAAGAACUUGGCAGAAUCAGCACUCCUUUAUGAAUCAUUAUAUAAAUGCAUGUUUUUUCAUAUA